Molecule: ribosomal RNA, 274 nt
Filed under: uncultured bacterium
Lineage: Bacteria
Description: partial 16S ribosomal RNA
Rfam family: Bacterial small subunit ribosomal RNA
Source: RNAcentral
AUACGGAGGGGGUUAGCGUUGUUCGGAAUUACUGGGCGUAAAGCGCACGUAGGCGGACUGGAAAGUUGGGGGUGAAAUCCCGGGGCUCAACCCCGGAACUGCCUCCAAAACUUCCAAUCUAGAGAUCGAGUGAGGUGAGUGGAAUUCCAAGUGUAGAGGUGAAAUUCGUAGAUAUUUGGAGGAACACCAGUGGCGAAGGCGGCUCACCGGCUCGAUACUGACGCUGAGGUGCGAAAGCGUGGGGAGCAAACAGGAUUAGAUACCCCAGUAGUCC